This 495-nucleotide ribosomal RNA is filed under the name uncultured bacterium. Its description in RNAcentral is "partial 16S ribosomal RNA". It matches the Rfam family "Bacterial small subunit ribosomal RNA", at positions 28 to 505 of the family's 1533-position model. The record is from RNAcentral.
GAUGAACGCUGGCGGCGUGCCUAAUACAUGCGAGUCGAGCGAACAGACGAGGAGCUUGCUCCUCUGACGUUAGCGGCGGACGGGUGAGUAACACGUGGAUAACCUACCUAUAAGACUGGGAUAACUUCGGGAAACCGGAGCUAAUACCGGAUAAUAUAUUGAACCGCAUGGUUCAAUAGUGAAAGACGGUUUUGCUGUCACUUAUAGAUGGAUCCGCGCCGCAUUAGCUAGUUGGUAAGGUAACGGCUUACCAAGGCGACGAUGCGUAGCCGACCUGAGAGGGUGAUCGGCCACACUGGAACGGAGACACGGUCCAGACUCCUACGGGAGGCAGCAGUAGGGAAUCUUCCGCAAUGGGCGAAAGCCUGACGGAGCAACGCCGCGUGAGUGAUGAAGGUCUUCGGAUCGUAAAACUCUGUUAUUAGGGAAGAACAAAUGUGUAAGUAACUAUGCACGUCUUGACGGUACCUAAUCAGAAAGCCACGGCUAACUACG